RNAcentral lists this transfer RNA (73 nucleotides) under Streptomyces phage Faust. RNAcentral describes it as "tRNA-Arg". It matches the Rfam family "tRNA". From Rfam's summary of the family: Transfer RNA (tRNA) molecules are approximately 80 nucleotides in length. Their secondary structure includes four short double-helical elements and three loops (D, anti-codon, and T loops). Lineage: Duplodnaviria; Heunggongvirae; Uroviricota; Caudoviricetes; Stanwilliamsviridae. The record is from RNAcentral.
GCUCCUGAAGUUCAAGGGAUGAACAUUCGCCUCCUAAGCGAACGGUUGCUGGUUCGAAUCCAGUCAGGAGCAC